AUUGAACGCCGGCGGUAGGCCUAACACAUGCAAGUCGGACGGUAGCACAGAGGAGCUUGCUCCUUGGGUGACGAGUGGCGGACGGGUGAGUAAUGUCUGGGGAUCUGCCCGAUAGAGGGGGAUAACCACUGGAAACGGUGGCUAAUACCGCAUAACGUCGCAAGACCAAAGAGGGGGACCUUCGGGCCUCUCACUAUCGGAUGAACCCAGAUGGGAUUAGCUAGUAGGCGGGGUAAUGGCCCACCUAGGCGACGAUCCCUAGCUGGUCUGAGAGGAUGACCAGCCACACUGGAACUGAGACACGGUCCAGACUCCUACGGGAGGCAGCAGUGGGGAACAUUGCACAAUGGGCGCAAGCCUGAUGCAGCCAUGCCGCGUGUAUGAAGAAGGCCUUCGGGUUGUAAAGUACUUUCAGCGGGGAGGAAGGCGAUGCGGUUAAUAACCGCAUCGAUUGACGUUACCCGCAGAAGAAGCACCGGCUAACUCCGUGCCAGCCGCCGCUGUAA
Molecule: ribosomal RNA, 506 nt
Filed under: uncultured bacterium
Lineage: Bacteria
Description: partial 16S ribosomal RNA
Rfam family: Bacterial small subunit ribosomal RNA
Source: RNAcentral